This is a long non-coding RNA of Ictalurus punctatus (channel catfish), 1086 nucleotides long. The record is from Ensembl. NCBI's taxonomy places the organism in Eukaryota, Metazoa, Chordata, Actinopteri, Siluriformes, Ictaluridae.
AAAUCCUGUCUCGAUCCACUGUGUGGAGUGCCUUCAAAGAUCAAAAACAUGAUCUCUUCAUCUCGGAAUCGCAGACUGCAGGCUUUCUGACAGGUCCGGCAGUUGCAGGCUAUCUAACUGCUGGCACGGGUGCUACAGUUCUGUCCAGCGUCCCUCCACCCGUAGACAAUGACAUUGGAGACCUGGGCUAAAAACCAAACCUGCACUAACAGUUCAGUGAAUGCACCACUUUCAUAAGAGAAGCAGGCUUGAUGAGACAGACAGAUAAAUUACUUAAAGAAAGAGGAAAGGAUUGGGUGGAUUACAACCCUUGUGUAAACUUUCCUCUAAAUGUGUGCUGCUACGUCCUCCAUGUGUCCGUGGUGUUCCCUUUCAGCACACAGUUAUUAAUUAAUCUGCCUUUUUUUUUUUUUUUUUUUUUUUUAAAAUCUUUUUGCUCUUGUUCCUAGUGUAUUACAUUCGAUACCUUCAGUUUUGUUUUUUUUCCAAGAAGAGGUAAAUGUUUACUUUUGUAUGAGAAUAUUUUUUGCUGGAGGAAAAAAGACCCCUGAAGUGAAUACAACUUUAGAGAUCCAACCCUUACUUGAUUCCUUUCCCCUUCACUUCUGUCAUGCCCUCCAUGCUUUGUCUACACAAAGCUUCUAAUGACUUCUUAUUUUAACCAAAUCUUGGUUUAUCAUGCCAUACCACCAUUCACCUUGUGUUUUCUGUUGACCCUAAAAUGAAUGAAUUCUUGAUGAAGUUAAAGGAAAAAUUAAGAACUUCCUCUGUCACUUACAAUCACACCCCAUAGACUGAUCUGGCUUAAAUCUCCCCUUAUGUCUCAACAGACAGCCUGCUUUUUCUACCUUUUCUCACCCAGAAUGCAAAGAAAUCACUCAAAUAUUUAUAACUAGCCGUGUACUUAACUGAGGAAUGAUUUUCUGUAAACGUUCCCAGGAGAAAUGACACUGACUCUAAUUAAAAUCUAUGUCAAAGAUUAGUGCAGUUGUCAAACUGUCUAUAUAAUAUGAUACAUAAACUUUCUAUAUUGAAUGUACAAUCUAAAAAAUCAGUUACACUUGUACAUAACAUUUUAAGAAUAAA